This 1372-nucleotide ribosomal RNA is filed under the name uncultured bacterium. Its description in RNAcentral is "bacterial SSU rRNA". It matches the Rfam family "Bacterial small subunit ribosomal RNA", at positions 28 to 1381 of the family's 1533-position model. The record is from RNAcentral.
GAUGAACGCUGGCGGCGUGCCUAAUACAUGCAAGUCGAGCGAACGGACGAGAAGCUUGCUUCUCUGAUGUUAGCGGCGGACGGGUGAGUAACACGUGGAUAACCUACCUAUAAGACUGGGAUAACUUCGGGAAACCGGAGCUAAUACCGGAUAAUAUUUUGAACCGCAUGGUUCAAAAGUGAAAGACGGUCUUGCUGUCACUUAUAGAUGGAUCCGCGCUGCAUUAGCUAGUUGGUAAGGUAACGGCUUACCAAGGCAACGAUGCAUAGCCGACCUGAGAGGGUGAUCGGCCACACUGGAACUGAGACACGGUCCAGACUCCUACGGGAGGCAGCAGUAGGGAAUCUUCCGCAAUGGGCGAAAGCCUGACGGAGCAACGCCGCGUGAGUGAUGAAGGUCUUCGGAUCGUAAAACUCUGUUAUUAGGGAAGAACAUAUGUGUAAGUAACUGUGCACAUCUUGACGGUACCUAAUCAGAAAGCCACGGCUAACUACGUGCCAGCAGCCGCGGUAAUACGUAGGUGGCAAGCGUUAUCCGGAAUUAUUGGGCGUAAAGCGCGCGUAGGCGGUUUUUUAAGUCUGAUGUGAAAGCCCACGGCUCAACCGUGGAGGGUUAUUGGAAACUGGAAAACUUGAGUGCAGAAGGGGAAAGUGGAAUUCCAUGUGUAGCGGUGAAAUGCGCAGAGAUAUGGAGGAACACCAGUGGCGAAGGCGACUUUCUGGUCUGUAACUGACGCUGAUGUGCGAAAGCGUGGGGAUCAAACAGGAUUAGAUACCCUGGUAGUCCACGCCGUAAACGAUGAGUGCUAAGUGUUAGGGGGUUUCCGCCCCUUAGUGCUGCAGCUAACGCAUUAAGCACUCCGCCUGGGGAGUACGACCGCAAGGUUGAAACUCAAAGGAAUUGACGGGGACCCGCACAAGCGGUGGAGCAUGUGGUUUAAUUCGAAGCAACGCGAAGAACCUUACCAAAUCUUGACAUCCUUUGACAACUCUAGAGAUAGAGCCUUCCCCUUCGGGGGACAAAGUGACAGGUGGUGCAUGGUUGUCGUCAGCUCGUGUCGUGAGAUGUUGGGUUAAGUCCCGCAACGAGCGCAACCCUUAAGCUUAGUUGCCAUCAUUAAGUUGGGCACUCUAAGUUGACUGCCGGUGACAAACCGGAGGAAGGUGGGGAUGACGUCAAAUCAUCAUGCCCCUUAUGAUUUGGGCUACACACGUGCUACAAUGGACAAUACAAAGGGCAGCGAAACCGCGAGGUCAAGCAAAUCCCAUAAAGUUGUUCUCAGUUCGGAUUGUAGUCUGCAACUCGACUACAUGAAGCUGGAAUCGCUAGUAAUCGUAGAUCAGCAUGCUACGGUGAAUACGUUCCCGGGUCU